AGGUUUUCGGAUCGUAAAACUCUGUUGUUAGAGAAGAACAAGGAUGAGAGUAAAAUGUUCAUCCCUUGACGGUAUCUAACCAGAAAGCCACGGCUAACUACGUGCCAGCAGCCGCGGUAAUACGUAGGUGGCAAGCGUUGUCCGGAUUUAUUGGGCGUAAAGCGAGCGCAGGCGGUUUCUUAAGUCUGAUGUGAAAGCCCCCGGCUCAACCGGGGAGGGUCAUUGGAAACUGGGAGACUUGAGUGCAGAAGAGGAGAGUGGAAUUCCAUGUGUAGCGGUGAAAUGCGUAGAUAUAUGGAGGAACACCAGUGGCGAAGGCGGCUCUCUGGUCUGUAACUGACGCUGAGGCUCGAAAGCGUGGGGAGCAAACAGGAUUAGAUACCCUGGUAGUCCACGCCGUAAACGAUGAGUGCUAAGUGUUGGAGGGUUUCCGCCCUUCAGUGCUGCAGCUAACGCAUUAAGCACUCCGCCUGGGGAGUACGACCGCAAGGUUGAAACUCAAAGGAAUUGACGGGGGCCCGCACAAG
This 527-nucleotide ribosomal RNA is filed under the name uncultured bacterium. Its description in RNAcentral is "bacterial SSU rRNA". It matches the Rfam family "Bacterial small subunit ribosomal RNA", at positions 412 to 929 of the family's 1533-position model. The record is from RNAcentral.